This 301-nucleotide unclassified non-coding RNA is filed under the name Ambisporaceae sp. RNAcentral describes it as "partial contains 5.8S ribosomal RNA and internal transcribed spacer 2". The stretch from base 1 to 71 matches the Rfam family "5.8S ribosomal RNA", at positions 84 to 154 of the family's 154-position model. Lineage: Eukaryota; Fungi; Glomeromycota; Glomeromycetes; Archaeosporales; Ambisporaceae. The record is from RNAcentral.
GUGAAUCAUCAAAUUUUUGAACGCAUAUUGCACUCUCUGGUAUUCCGGAGAGUAUGCCUAUUUGAGGGUCAUUUAAAAUAAUAUAAAUUCCAAGAUGUCUCGGAAUUUAAAAUUGGGUGUCCAUUUUUUGUGGUCGCCUAAAAUCCAAUACAAGCUCAUUUUCUUGGGUUGCGUGAUACUCUCAGUUACCUCGUGACUUAACCAAGAAUCAGCGGGCGUGUUAUGAAUGUUGCAAGAGAUGAAUUCCAUAUAUUUAUCUCAUGCGAAAGAUGAAUGGAAUCAUGACCUCAAAUUAGGUAAA